AUACGGAGGGUGCAAGCGUUGUCCGGAUUUAUUGGGUUUAAAGGGUGCGUAGGCGGAUAUAUAAGUCAGUGGUGAAAUACUUCAGCUCAACUGGAGAGGUGCCAUAGAAACUGUAUAUCUUGAGUGAAGUCGAAGUAGGCGGAAUUGAUGGUGUAGCGGUGAAAUGCAUAGAUAUCAUCAAGAACACCGAUAGCGAAGGCAGCUUACUUGGUUUCAACUGACGCUGAUGCACGAAAGCGUGGGGAGCGAACAGGAUUAGAAACCCCAGUAGUCC
Molecule: ribosomal RNA, 274 nt
Filed under: uncultured bacterium
Lineage: Bacteria
Description: partial 16S ribosomal RNA
Rfam family: Bacterial small subunit ribosomal RNA
Source: RNAcentral